RNAcentral lists this ribosomal RNA (497 nucleotides) under uncultured bacterium. RNAcentral's name for it is "partial 16S ribosomal RNA". It matches the Rfam family "Bacterial small subunit ribosomal RNA", at positions 28 to 507 of the family's 1533-position model. The record is from RNAcentral.
GAUGAACGCUGGCGGCGUGCCUAAUACAUGCAAGUCGAGCGAACAGAUGAGGAGCUUGCUCCUCUGACGUUAGCGGCGGACGGGUGAGUAACACGUGGAUAACCUACCUAUAAGACUGGGAUAACUUCGGGAAACCGGAGCUAAUACCGGAUAAUAUAUUGAACCGCCUGGUUCAAUAGUGAAAGACGGUUUUGCUGUCACUUAUAGAUGGAUCCGCGCCGCAUUAGCUAGUUGGUAAGGUAACGGCUUACCAAGGCAACGAUGCGUAGCCGACCUGAGAGGGUGAUCGGCCACACUGGAACUGAGACACGGUCCAGACUCCUACGGGAGGCAGCAGUAGGGAAUCUUCCGCAAUGGGCGAAAGCCUGACGGAGCAACGCCGCGUGAGUGAUGAAGGUCUUCGGAUCGUAAAACUCUGUUAUUAGGGAAGAACAAAUGUGUAAGUAACUAUGCACGUCUUGACGGUACCUAAUCAGAAAGCCACGGCUAACUACGUG